UGGUCUGGAACCGAACCGGCAGUGUUUCUGAGUUAUGCCCUGCAACAUUAGGCUGAGUCUAAGGAUAUCAAGUCAACAAAACAGUCAGAUAAAUGUGCCAGUUAAAAUUCUGGAGAUGUCCUUCUUAGACCUGGCCUUGUCACCAAGCACACAUUCUUGGAGAUUCUACGGGAAUGGCAGCAACGGGAUGCUGGAGGCCGGGGCUCUUAGUACUGCACAGGAGAAAAUGGGUGUGUGAUCUCAGCUCCCAGAAGACCAGAGAUUGAACCCAGGCCACAGAGGUGAAAAUGCUGAAUCCUAACCACUAAACUACCAGGGGAUCCCCAAAUUCAAUGAACUGACCCAUUUGAUCAAUGCAACGACCAAUUAUAUUUUGUGGUGAGUGAUUUUCUUAUCUUUGGCCCUGGCUAUUUCUAUCAUUGCUUAGUAUUUGAGUAUUUUUUAAUUACUUUGGAUUGAGAAUUAUUCCCAAGUGCUAAAAUCACUAGAUAUCCACUAACAAUUUUCAUGUAAGGUAUGACUAUCAUGGUUUUCCUUAAGUAAGUAAGUAUAUUUAAUAGUUCUCCAAAACCAAAGAAUGAUUUAUUUCUGACUGAAAAUAAGUAACAUAAAAUGAGCUUACUACCGAUAAAACUAUCACUAGGCCGUUCCCUUCUGUCACUGGUCAAUGGGAGAAAAAGAUGCGAGGCAGAGACAAGUUAGUCAUAGGAACCCAUUGUGGAUUUAAAAAAAAAAUGCCUUUUGUUGUUGUUGUGUUUUUUUAAGGGCUGUGGACUUGGCAUAUGGAAGUUCCCAGGCUAGGGGUUGAACUGGAGCUGCAGCUUCCAGCCUAUGCCACAGCCACAGCAAUGCCAGAUCUGAGCUGAAUCUAUGACCUAUACCACAGCUCAUGGCAGUUCUGGAUCCUUAACCCACUGAACGAGGCCAGGGAUCGAACCCAUGUCCUCAUGGGACCUCCUAAAUGCAUUUUAAAAAAAACUUCUUGGUGUUCCCGUCGUGGCUCGGUGGUUAACAAAUCUGACUGGGAACCAUGAGGUGGUGGGUUCGAUCCCUGGCCUUGCUCAGUGGGUUGAGGAUCCGGCAUUGCCAUGAGCUGCUACAGCUCCGAUUCGGCCCCUAGCCUGGUAUCCUCCAUAUGCCUCGGGUACAGCCCUAGAAAAGACAAAAAGAUGAAAUAAAUAAAAUUUUAAAAUAAAUAAAAAAAACCUU
Molecule: long non-coding RNA, 1209 nt
Filed under: Sus scrofa (pig)
Lineage: Eukaryota; Metazoa; Chordata; Mammalia; Artiodactyla; Suidae
Description: lncRNA (ENSSSCG00070010385.1)
Source: RNAcentral